UCCUCCAAGGCUAAAUACUCCUGACUGACCGAUAGUGAACCAGUACCGUGAGGGAAAGGCGAAAAGAACCCCGGCGAGGGGAGUGAAAAAGAACCUGAAACCGUGUACGUACAAGCAGUGGGAGCACAGGUUUACCUGUGUGACUGCGUACCUUUUGUAUAAUGGGUCAGCGACUUAUAUUCUGUAGCAAGGUUAACCGAAUAGGGGAGCCGGAGGGAAACCGAGUCUUAAUUGGGCGUUAAGUUGCAGGGUAUAGACCCGAAACCCGGUGAUCUAGCCAUGGGCAGGUUGAAGGUUGGGUAACACUAACUGGAGGACCGAACCGACUAAUGUUGAAAAAUUAGCGGAUGACCUGUGGCUGGGGGUGAAAGGCCAAUCAAACCGGGAGAUAGCUGGUUCUCCCCGAAAGCUAUUUAGGUAGCGCCUCGUGAAUUCAUCUCCGGGGGUAGAGCACUGUUUCGGCUAGGGGGCCAUCCCGGCUUACCAACCCGAUGCAAACUGCGAAUACCGGAGAAUGUUAUCACGGGAGACACACGGCGGGUGCUAACGUCCGUCGUGAAGAGGGAAACAACCCAGACCGCCAGCUAAGGUCCCAAAGUCAUGGUUAAGUGGGAAACGAUGUGGGAAGGCCCAGACAGCCAGGAUGUUGGCUUAGAAGCAGCCAUCAUUUAAAGAAAGCGUAAUAGCUCACUGGUCGAGUCGGCCUGCGCGGAAGAUGUAACGGGGCUAAACCAUGCACCGAAGCUGCGGCAGCGACGCUGAUGCGUUGUUGGGUAGGGGAGCGUUCUGUAAGCCUGCGAAGGUGGCCUGUGAGGGUUGCUGGAGGUAUCAGAAGUGCGAAUGCUGACAUAAGUAACGAUAAAGCGGGUGAAAAGCCCGCUCGCCGGAAGACCAAGGGUUCCUGUCCAACGUUAAUCGGGGCAGGGUGAGUCGACCCCUAAGGCGAGGCCGAAAGGCGUAGUCGAUGGGAAACGGGUUAAUAUUCCCGUACUUGGUGUUACUGCGAAGGGGGGACGGAGAAGGCUAUGUUGGCCGGGCGACGGUUGUCCCGGUUUAAGCGUGUAGG
Molecule: ribosomal RNA, 1066 nt
Filed under: Salmonella enterica subsp. enterica serovar Montevideo
Lineage: Bacteria; Pseudomonadati; Pseudomonadota; Gammaproteobacteria; Enterobacterales; Enterobacteriaceae
Description: partial 23S ribosomal RNA
Rfam family: Bacterial large subunit ribosomal RNA
Source: RNAcentral